AACGAACGCUGGCGGCAUGCCUAACACAUGCAAGUCGAACGAGACCUUCGGGUCUAGUGGCGCACGGGUGCGUAACGCGUGGGAACCUGCCUUUAGGUUCGGAAUAACUCAGAGAAAUUUGAGCUAAUACCGGAUGAUGUCUUCGGACCAAAGAUUUAUCGCCCUUAGAUGGGCCCGCGUUGGAUUAGCUAGUUGGUGGGGUAAAGGCCUACCAAGGCGACGAUCCAUAGCUGGUCUGAGAGGAUGAUCAGCCACACUGGGACUGAGACACGGCCCAGACUCCUACGGGAGGCAGCAGUGGGGAAUAUUGGACAAUGGGCGAAAGCCUGAUCCAGCAAUGCCGCGUGAGUGAUGAAGGCCUUAGGGUUGUAAAGCUCUUUUACCCGAGAUGAUAAUGACAGUAUCGGGAGAAUAAGCGCCGGCUAACUCCGUG
RNAcentral lists this ribosomal RNA (433 nucleotides) under uncultured bacterium. RNAcentral's name for it is "partial 16S ribosomal RNA". It matches the Rfam family "Bacterial small subunit ribosomal RNA", at positions 29 to 507 of the family's 1533-position model. The record is from RNAcentral.